This 467-nucleotide ribosomal RNA is filed under the name uncultured bacterium. RNAcentral describes it as "bacterial SSU rRNA". It matches the Rfam family "Bacterial small subunit ribosomal RNA", at positions 355 to 825 of the family's 1533-position model. The record is from RNAcentral.
UAAGGAAUAUUGGUCAAUGCCCGGAAGGGUGAACCAGCCAUCCCGCGUGAAGGAUGAAGGGGCUCUGCCUUGUAAACUUCUUUUGAAUGGGACGAAAAAGCCUCACUUGUGAGGAACUGACGGUACCAUUAGAAUAAGCACCGGCUAACUCCGUGCCAGCAGCCGCGGUAAUACGUAGGGUGCGAGCGUUAAUCGGAAUUACUGGGCGUAAAGCGUGCGCAGGCGGCGACAUAAGACAGAUGUGAAAUCCCCGGGCUCAACCUGGGAACUGCGUUUGUGACUGUGUUGCUAGAGUGUAGCAGAGGGGGGUGGAAUUCCACGUGUAGCAGUGAAAUGCGUAGAGAUGUGGAGGAACACCGAUGGCGAAGGCAGCCCCCUGGGUUAACACUGACGCUCAUGCACGAAAGCGUGGGGAGCAAACAGGAUUAGAUACCCGGGUAGUCCCUGAGCGGGCUGGCAAGGCGCAU